This is a long non-coding RNA of Stegodyphus dumicola, 236 nucleotides long. The record is from RefSeq and is a predicted model, not a curated record. NCBI's taxonomy places the organism in Eukaryota, Metazoa, Arthropoda, Arachnida, Araneae, Eresidae.
GGUGAAGAUACAGUUAAUUUGAUCCUUGUUGAAUCCUUUGGCUUUCCACAGGUUGCUGCUGAAUCUGCAGUAUAUGGCAUGUUUUACCGCACACCAAGGAAAGUGGAAACUUAUAAAAUAUUUCGGUACGUUGACAUAAGUUUCAGUCUGCCGGAGGUAUCUGUAAGACUAGUUGAUGAAGAAAAGAGUGAUGGCUUAACAAAGAAGGCUUUUAGGCAGGGAGUAGUUAUUGGAGA